AGUGAACGCUGGCGGUAGGCCUAACACAUGCAAGUCGAACGGCAGCACAGUAAGAGCUUGCUCUUACGGGUGGCGAGUGGCGGACGGGUGAGGAAUACAUCGGAAUCUACUUUUUCGUGGGGGAUAGCGUAGGGAAACUUACGCUAAUACCGCAUACGACCUACGGGUGAAAGCAGGGGAUCUUCGGACCUUGCGCGAUUGAAUGAGCCGAUGUCGGAUUAGCUAGUUGGCGGGGUAAAGGCCCACCAAGGCGACGAUCCGUAGCUGGUCUGAGAGGAUGAUCAGCCACACUUGAACUGAGACACGGUCCAGACUCCUACGGGAGGCAGCAGUGGGGAAUAUUGGACCAUGGGCGCAAGCCUGAUCCAGCCAUACCGCGUGGGUGAAGAAGGCCUUCGGGUUGUAAAGCCCUUUUGUUGGGAAAGAAAAGCAGCAGGUUAAUACCCCGCUGUUCUGACGGUACCCAAAGAAUAAGCACCGGCUAACUUCGUG
RNAcentral lists this ribosomal RNA (492 nucleotides) under uncultured bacterium. RNAcentral's name for it is "partial 16S ribosomal RNA". It matches the Rfam family "Bacterial small subunit ribosomal RNA", at positions 29 to 507 of the family's 1533-position model. The record is from RNAcentral.